AAAAAGGUAAGCUAAUUAAGCUACUGGGUUCAUACCCCAUUUAUGAAGAUUAUACUUCUUCCCUUCUUA
Molecule: transfer RNA, 69 nt
Filed under: Bolitobius castaneus
Lineage: Eukaryota; Metazoa; Arthropoda; Insecta; Coleoptera; Staphylinidae
Description: tRNA-Met
Source: RNAcentral